Molecule: ribosomal RNA, 292 nt
Filed under: uncultured bacterium
Lineage: Bacteria
Description: partial 16S ribosomal RNA
Rfam family: Bacterial small subunit ribosomal RNA
Source: RNAcentral
UUUUCAGCCGCCGCGGUAAUACGUAGGGUGCGAGCGUUGUCCGGAAUUAUUGGGCGUAAAGAGCUCGUAGGCGGUUUGUCGCGUCGGCCGUGAAAACUUGGGGCUUAACUCCAAGCUUGCGGUCGAUACGGGCAGACUUGAGUUCGGCAGGGGAGACUGGAAUUCCUGGUGUAGCGGUGAAAUGCGCAGAUAUCAGGAGGAACACCGGUGGCGAAGGCGGGUCUCUGGGCCGAUACUGACGCUGAGGAGCGAAAGCGUGGGGAGCGAACAGGAUUAGAAACCCUAGUAGUCC